CGAAGGAGCAGACAGCCAUCUCGCGAGAUUGUAAUAAAGAUGAGGAAACUGAGGCUCUGAGAAGUUGAGAUUUGCCAAAGAUUACACAGUCUGUCCAUGCAGAGUCAGGACUCAAAUCUAGCUCUCCUGACUCCUCAGGGCUUCUCCCACAAAUUAACACUGCUCCUACUGAAUGGGUGUAGUGAUUAACUAUGGAAGACAAGAAGACCACUGGGCAACCAAAACACUAAAUGGAAAAUUAUCAUAUUCCUGAAAAUGAGAGACUAUGAAUAGUUAAUAGGGAGCUGAAUCUCAAAGAUAAGGAUACACAGAGCACAUCGUUGGUCACAAAAAACUCAAAUCACUUGACCCGGGAGAACUGCAUUCCGGUACUCAGAAAGAACUGACAGGCCUUCCUGUCCCUGAGACACAACAACAUUGAAAUUAGGCCAAUUAAUAAGCCUACAAUGGCUUCUAAGUGUUCAAGCGAAAGGAACAAUUAAUUGAUGGGACAGAUUUAUCUUAAGAAAUUUCUACGGCCGACCCAACAACCUUCAGCAGCCACUACCCUGAUCAAUCAGCAGCCAUCAAUACAGAGGGAAGACCCUCCACCAGGAAAAAGAUUACAACACACUGAAGGCUCAGAUGAUGGUUAAUUUUUUUUAACAAUAAAGCAUUUUUAAUUAAGGUAUGCAAAUUAUUCUAGACACAGUACUAUUGCACACUUAAUAGACAGUAUCAUAUAAACAUAACUUUUAAGUGCAAUAGGAAAACAAAAAAUUGUGUGACUCGCCUUGUUGUAAUAGUCUGGAACUGAAUCCACAAUAUCCUUGAGCUAUGCUUGCAUUUAGAAUUUCUUAAUCUGUUACUAUAGCUGUGUGUGUGUGAGUGUCAGGAGAGACAGAGACAGAGAGACAGAGACAG
Phascolarctos cinereus (koala) is the source of this 903-nucleotide long non-coding RNA. RefSeq lists it as uncharacterized. Lineage: Eukaryota; Metazoa; Chordata; Mammalia; Diprotodontia; Phascolarctidae. The record is from RefSeq and is a predicted model, not a curated record.